AGAGAGAGAGCACCCGUAUCUUCGUCAAGGUCAUCGAUCAUCGGAACUAGGAAGUCCUUGCCGAUUCCGACGACGCUGACUCCGACGCGAGCCCUCGGACUCCGCGUUCGUCGAAGUCGACCGAGCCACUCUCUACGACACACAUCUUGGUUCGGCACUCUCCCUUUUCACGCCCCUCUGAACUUGGCCUUUAGAUGCGUUCGUCUAUGGCGUUUUUUGACGAUCGGCAGUGGUUCUUGAGAUGCUGGUUCUUUUUCUUUCUACUUCUUGACUUAGCGAUAGGUUUCGGUUCCUUUUCUUUAUUCUUCUUGAUUCUGCAAGAGGUUGUUCUGCUUGAUAUGUUGAUAUGUUGGUUCUUUUUCAUAGUGCUUCUUGGUAAUAGAUGCUGGUUCUUUUUCGAUUCGCAUGUUAUGACAGUCUUUAGUUUGUAUUCCGAUUGAUUUUUUUUUUUUUAUUUAGUGCCUAUAUCGAUGUUGGUUGAUUAGUUGCAAGCCUUUAUGACACUCAUCUUUAGCUGCAUUCCUCUGUGGCGUUCUUUCUCUGUUCGGUCGGAAGUGGUUCUUGAUAUCUUAGUUCUUUUCUUUGUAUUUAAUGGCUUUGUGAUAGGUUGUGGUUUCUGUUUUUAUGCUUCUUGAUCUUCCGUCGGUAUGGUUCUUCGAUUCGAGUUUUGGCCGAUCCGUGGAUUUGUUCGGUUCCUCCUUAGUUUCUCCCGAUCUUUGUGGAUACUUGUAGCAUACUUGCUGUCUUGUCUAAAUUCAUGACCAACGAUAGGUGGAAUAUAGAUAAGUUGUACUCCUCUUUCUCUUGCUUCUGCUCGAUUCUGCAACAGGUUGUUCUGCUUUAUAUGUUGGUUCUUUUUCUUUACGCUUCUUGAUCUCCAGAUUUUUAGUUUAUAUUCCGAUUGAUUCUUUUUCGAAUGCCUAUACCAAUGUUGGUUGAUUGUCUGCUAGUGUGAUAAUCCAGGAUGUAGUUUAUACGAGUUCGUAAUCUGAGUUACUUCCUACGACGCGUCAGAUAAGAAACUUUUGGUUGAUUAGCUGCUAGUGUGAUAAUUCGGGAUGUGAUUUGAAUCGGAUCGAGAAAUAUGGAAAAUAUAGUUAGGCUUUAACCCAAAUCAAUCCGAUUGGAUGGUUUGGUCUGUGCGUACUUGGCAUCAUUGCACCCGAAUCACUUUAGUGCUUGGUGUUUAAAUUGAUGGGUAUUGAUAAGGGUAAAAAUGACGAUGUGACACGCCAUAACGUCAGCCGACAACACACUGCCCGAGGAAGUCGGCAUUAACACCUAACUCAGGCUUGGUUCUUCACGCCAUGCCAACCCCAUGUCAUACGCUAUCAGCCUGCCUCCUGCAAGCAGCCACAUCAGGUAACAUCAAACUCAUCUAUAAAUACCCCAGAGUUCUUAACGAACGGGGAGAGGAACACAAGCACAACGCACUUGGAGGCAUCUCGUCCUCCAAAACCCUCUCCACAUCGCAAACUUGAUCGUCGGAGGGGUCGGGCCGAGCUCCCGGCCCGACCUGUGUGCAGGUGCGAGACGGUGUUGCCUCUUCUCGACGCUGUGGCGGAGCUUCCUCCCGACCCGACCUCCCGACCCGAACCACCGUGCUCAGCCGCCGAGAGACCCCGAGCGACGUCGCUCGAGAUCCCCGACAUCCGGACCCCCGAAUCGAGUCGCGACGAUCCCGAGGCCACGGCUUAAAUAGAUGCCCCCCGCAUCAGGUAUAUAAAGCGGAAUAAUCUUUGUAUAUGAACAAAU
This 1755-nucleotide long non-coding RNA is filed under the name Musa acuminata (dwarf banana). RNAcentral describes it as "long non-coding RNA (MACU_LNC006778)". Lineage: Eukaryota; Viridiplantae; Streptophyta; Magnoliopsida; Zingiberales; Musaceae. The record is from RNAcentral.